UACGUAGGGGGCAAGCGUUGUCCGGAUUUACUGGGUGUAAAGGGCGCGCAGGCGGAUCUGUUAGUCAGGGGUGAAAUCCUACGGCUCAACCGUAGAACUGCCUCUGAUACUGCAGAUCUUGAGUUCGGAAGAGAGAAGCGGAAUUCCAGGUGUAGUGGUGAAAUACGUAGAUAUCUGGAAGAACACCAGUGGCGAAGGCGGCUUCUUGGUCCGCAACUGACGCUGAGGCGCGAAAGCGUGGGGAGCAAAC
This 250-nucleotide ribosomal RNA is filed under the name uncultured Melioribacter sp. RNAcentral's name for it is "partial 16S ribosomal RNA". It matches the Rfam family "Bacterial small subunit ribosomal RNA", at positions 524 to 773 of the family's 1533-position model. Lineage: Bacteria; Pseudomonadati; Ignavibacteriota; Ignavibacteria; Ignavibacteriales; Melioribacteraceae. The record is from RNAcentral.